RNAcentral lists this long non-coding RNA (1141 nucleotides) under Salmo trutta (river trout). RNAcentral's name for it is "lncRNA (ENSSTUG00000016488.1)". The record is from RNAcentral. Lineage: Eukaryota; Metazoa; Chordata; Actinopteri; Salmoniformes; Salmonidae.
GAGAAGUUUGCGAAGCAGGCGAAAGUGAGUUACAGUCGUACUUGCGUUCCUAUACAACGAGAGUUUGCAAUUGAGCAAGACUACUCGGAAUCGUCAGUUUCUCUCCGGACAGCGUUCGUAUUUACUUUUCUAAAAGAAACAGUAGGCGAUUUUAGGUGAUUGAAGAUUACUUUGAAUAAUGCAUUAGAGCGUGUGGAGAGUUGACAUUCUAAAUACUUCGGGAAAAUUAUGUUCAAAUGUAUAGUAACGCCUGAUGAGAUUUCUCUCGCAAAUAUUAGCGUUUGAUAGAAAUAGCAGUGGACAAAUAAAUAACUUUCACAUCAGAAUAUUCGGGGACAUCAGCCAUAACUUGUCAUAUCGUUUAAAAUUCAACAGAGUGGCAUUGCUAAACUAUUCAAGCCAUCGACUCUGAUGGUUGAAGAUGAUGUGCGAUCGGCAAAGGCAAUCUGGAAUCUGCUGGCAUCACGGCACAACAUCAACAUCGCUCUAAUCACAGUCAGAAGACAGUUGAAGAAACUUGAGUGGACUUAUGGAAAGGCUCUUUUCUACCCAAUGAUUCGUUUGGCAAACAAAGACCUUUGCGUGCUGCAGGCCCAGGCAUGAAUCAAAGCUGGCGAGACAUUCAGUGACAUCAUCAAGAGAUAUGCUGGACCCUAUGUCAGAGAGGUGUUUUUGGGACCACAUCAUGUCUGUUGUCCUGCUAAUGGCCCUUGUGAAAAAUGCGUGUUCCGGCUCUCGGAACUCAUUAAGAAGCCGCUUCUUAAUAUCUUCAAUAUAAUCAUUAAUUCAGAAGGUUAAACCCUUGUUUUCAAGUCCUCUGGUGGUUACAGUCCCUGGAAUGGGUAGCACCAUAGUUUUCAUCAAGCCAGCUUCUUUCUAUGUCCAUUUUGUCUGUUCUCUUUGGUCGCAAUAUCAUUUGGGGCGGGGUGAGGAGUACUGGAAAGGUGUGACUCCAGGUUACAAUAGGCCAUAAGUAUACAGCAGAUUGCUGAUUGUCCUCACUUUGAUUAUGAUUUAGCAACAUACUGUAGCACCAUGACCAGGAUCUCUAUUCAUUUAAGUGAACAGAUUAGGGCUUUCAUGAACAACGGAAAAUUGUGUGUCAAUUCAUAAACCAUGUGCCAUGGAAUCGGUACAUGGG